Phasianus colchicus (ring-necked pheasant) is the source of this 2403-nucleotide long non-coding RNA. NCBI's taxonomy places the organism in Eukaryota, Metazoa, Chordata, Aves, Galliformes, Phasianidae. The record is from Ensembl.
CACAGCAUCACCAGCAUCUGCCCAGCUGCUGCCCUGGGUGUCACGGGGUGCUCCAGAUGUGCAGCGAGCAAAACCAAGGACUUCAGUUCUGCAGGACACUGCAAGCUUCCUGACCCUGCCCUGAAAAUCAUCUCGAGAAGCAGGUGUGAUGUGUCUGACUGUGCAGAGAAAGCAGUUUCCUUACUUUCCCUGUUACGUGGCUGAAUGGAGGCAGUGAGAAGCCUGGUGGAUUGAUGAGCUCCUGAGCCAAAGACAUCCCAGGUCUGAGCAAGGCAAGAGCUCCAUCCCUGUUGCGUCAGGCCGAAUGGAAGCCAACACUUGCCAUGAAGUAAGAAAAUUUGUUUCAUGCCAUGGAAUGUUGAUACUAAAUGGAAGGAGGGGAAGAAAAGAGCACACAUCUGCAUGUUGGAAAAGGAGCGGUUAGCUACCUUCUUGCAUGUGCUGGCUCUCUUUGAACACCUCCAUCGCCACCUAAGAGACAAUGUGGAGAGGUGCUUUGUCCACUGCAAUCUGUUCCUGCAUGGGAUGACACUUGGAUGACUGGAGCAUGCUGGAGCCAGGUGAAUGAUGCACAGGGCUUCCCAGGCUUGGAGCUGUUGCCAGCUGUUGGGCUGCUGCUCUUGGAUUCACAGAAUCAUAAUCACAGAAACACAGAAUGGCCAGGGUUGGAAGGGACCUCAAGGAUCAUGAAUCUCCAACCCCCUGCCACAUGCGGGGCCACCAAUCUCCCCAUCUCAUACCAGACCAGGCUGCCCAGGAUUCCUGUACCUGCACCUGCCUGGUUGCUCCUGAGCAGAGAUGUGCCUUGCUCAGGGAGCAGGUGAUGUCAGCUCAAGGCAAAGUACAACAGGGUGGAAACAACAAAAAAUGAGCUGAGAGAAUGUUGUACUCGCACAGGCAGAUCUCUUAACACUCCAGAAUUAGUGACAGGCUGAGACCUAUGCUGUGCAGGAAGGAUGCAGGAAGAGGCCAUCUGUGGAAGCAGUGGGACACUUGUCAUCCCAGCGAGGCAGCAAGACAGAAUCUUCUUCCAGCAAAAGCCAGCAAACAGACGGAGCUUGCUUCCAUCUGCCAACCUCAGUCUGAAUCAAGCAGAAAGAGACAGAAAUCCCAUAGGACAUCUCAUCUUCCUAGAAGCCAACAUAGAGAAAGCAAGCCUCAGUCCUGAGCAGAAGAUAAGGAGCAGAAUGACCUUGCAUCUUCCAUCCAUACACCUGAGGUUAACAGUCAAGGAACCUGAGGCCAGGAAGUCCUCAUUUGCACCCAUGUCUGCACGUAUGGUUUGCCACCGAGUCCCUCUGAAGGCUGAGCUGUGUGAAGAGGAGAGCAGGGCUGGUGCUGAGCUGCACACACACAAUCACAGAAGCACUGAGGUUGGAGAAGACCUCCAGCAUGCCCAUUAACCACGUCCCUCUGUGCCACAUCUCCACAGUUCUUAAACACCUCCAGGGGCAGCUGGGAGCUUUGGGGAUCCGUGGGACCUGGAGCAAGCAGUCCUCAGCUCCUCUCCAGUCAGCACAUGCCAACAUGCAGUGCUCUGCUCUUUCUUCUCCAGGUUCCCUGAGUGCUUGAUAAAUGUAAGCAUCAAGCAGGAGGACUGCUAGGGGGCAGGGCUACGUCCUAAACCAGUUCUAAAUGGAGAACUUCACACCACGAUGACUCCAACCAGUUGGCUGCUGGGCAGAAGGUACAAAUGGGAACCUCGAACCCAAAGCCCGUACAAAGGAACACUUGCAGCCAGUUAUUGCAGGGGUGGCUGUGACACGUGUGACUGCUGCGGUGUCUCUGUUUAUUUACUCCCUCCCUGUAACCCCUGCCUGCCCAGCCGUGCGUCUCUUUGGGCUGCUGUCAAUCACACGUCAGUUCUUGUUUGCCUCGGCUCAAAUCAGUGCUGCUGUUUUGACAAAAGCAUGGCUGUCAAAGCUCCCAAGGCGAGAGAGAAAGGCAGAGAGCCAAGAGGUGGAGGGAGGAGUGGGGUAUUUGUUAUCCCUGGGGAUGACGCAUCCUUGUGCAGAUGUGAUGAGCGGAGCUGUGAGCUUGGCAGUUGCCUUGCUUGUGCUGCUUUAGAAUGAUAGAAUCAUUUGGGUUGGAAGGGAGCCUUAAAGGCUAUCUGGUCCAACUCUCCUGCAGUGAGCAGGGACACCCACAUCUCCAUUAAGUGCUCAGAGCUCCUCCAGCCUGACCUUGGGUGCCUUCACCACCUCUGGGCAACCUGUGCCAGUGCCUCACCGCCCUCAUUGAGACAACUUCCUCCUUAUAUCCUGUCUAAAUCUGCCCUCCUUUAGUUUAAGCCAUUUCACACAGAGGGUGGUGAACAGGUUGCCAAUGAGGCUGUGGAUGCCCCAUCCCUGCAGGCAUUCAAGGCCAGGCUGGAUGUGGCUCUGGGCAGCCUGGUCUGCUGGU